AUUUGUUGGAUACAUUCUUAAAUUGAGUUAAAUUUCUGCAGGUGUAGUCCCUUACAGAUAUUCCUAUUCAAAAUUUUUCUUCCCAUUAAAAACAGCAUUAGGGACCUUAGUGUACAGGGAUCUACAUUUAAAAACACAGGAAAGGAAAAAUGAAAAUGUUUUGAGUUCACGUUAUUGGGAUUAAGGCAGAGAAAAUGUGAGAAAGGCAAUAUUUGAUGAAAUAAUGCCUGGUGACUUCCCAGAAUUAUUGAAAAGUAUGAAUCCUCAGAUUUAAGAAUAAUAAUAAUCCCAAAGCAAGAUAAAUAAAACAAAUCUAUAUAGGUGAUUUUAGGUAAAGCUUUCUAAGAGCCUUUGUUUCUUAGAGAUAUUUUAUUUCUUAGGUAGAGCUUUUAUUUCUUAGAGAUAUUGAUUAAUUUUUAGU
Molecule: long non-coding RNA, 421 nt
Filed under: Pan troglodytes (chimpanzee)
Lineage: Eukaryota; Metazoa; Chordata; Mammalia; Primates; Hominidae
Description: long non-coding RNA NONPTRT004454
Source: RNAcentral